GGGGGAAUAUUGGACAAUGGGCGAAAGCCUGAUCCAGCCAUGCCGCGUGUGUGAAGAAGGUCUUCGGAUUGUAAAGCACUUUAAGUUGGGAGGAAGGGCAUUAACCUAAUACGUUAGUGUUUUGACGUUACCGACAGAAUAAGCACCGGCUAACUCUGUGCCAGCAGCCGCGGUAAUAUAGAGGGUGCAAGCGUUAAUCGGAAUUACUGGGCGUAAAGCGCGCGUAGGUGGUUUGUUAAGUUGGAUGUGAAAUCCCCGGGCUCAACCUGGGAACUGCAUUCAAAACUGACUGACUAGAGUAUGGUAGAGGGUGGUGGAAUUUCCUGUGUAGCGGUGAAAUGCGUAGAUAUAGGAAGGAACACCAGUGGCGAAGGCGACCACCUGGACCAAUACUGACACUGAGGUGCGAAAGCGUGGGGAGCAAACA
RNAcentral lists this ribosomal RNA (427 nucleotides) under uncultured bacterium. RNAcentral's name for it is "partial 16S ribosomal RNA". It matches the Rfam family "Bacterial small subunit ribosomal RNA", at positions 355 to 774 of the family's 1533-position model. The record is from RNAcentral.